RNAcentral lists this ribosomal RNA (460 nucleotides) under uncultured bacterium. RNAcentral describes it as "partial 16S ribosomal RNA". It matches the Rfam family "Bacterial small subunit ribosomal RNA", at positions 338 to 795 of the family's 1533-position model. The record is from RNAcentral.
CCUACGGGAGGCUGCAGUGAGGAAUAUUGGUCAAUGGGCUUACGCCUGAACCAGCCAAGUCGCGUGAGGGAAGACUGCCCUAUGGGUUGUACACUUCUUUUAUAUGGGAAUAAAAUGUUCCACGUGUGGGAUUUUGUAUGUACCAUAUGAAUAAGGAUCGGCUAACUCCGUGCCAGCAGCCGCGGUAAUACGGAGGAUCCGAGCGUUAUCCGGAUUUAUUGGGUUUAAAGGGAGCGUAGGUGGAUUGUUAAGUCAGUUGUGAAAGUUUGCGGCUCAACCGUAAAAUGGCAGUUGAAACUGGCAGUCUUGAGUACAGUAGAGGUGGGCGGAAUUCGUGGUGUAGCGGUGAAAUGCUUAGAUAUCACGAAGAACUCCGAUUGCGAAGGCAGCUCACUGGACUGCAACUGACACUGAGGCUCGAAAGUGUGGGUAUCAAACAGGAUUAGAUACCCCUGUAGUC